AGGGUUGUAGCUCAGUGGUAGAGAGUCUGUUUUGCAUGCCAGAGGUCCCAGGUUCAAUCACCGGCGUCUCCA
Non-coding RNA from Podarcis lilfordi (Lilford's wall lizard), 72 nucleotides. NCBI's taxonomy places the organism in Eukaryota, Metazoa, Chordata, Lepidosauria, Squamata, Lacertidae. The record is from the annotation of a GenBank genome assembly.